RNAcentral lists this ribosomal RNA (328 nucleotides) under uncultured bacterium. Its description in RNAcentral is "bacterial SSU rRNA". It matches the Rfam family "Bacterial small subunit ribosomal RNA", at positions 568 to 898 of the family's 1533-position model. The record is from RNAcentral.
CGUGUAGGCGGUGCGGUAAGUUGGGCGUGAAAUCCCCGAGCUUAACUCGGGUGGGCCGUUCAAGACUGCCGUGCUAGGGUGCGGGAGAGGGAAGUGGAAUUUCCGGUGUAGCGGUGAAAUGCGUAGAUAUCGGGAGGAACACCUGCGGCGAAGGCGGCUUCCUGGACCGUAACCGACGCUGAGGCGCGAAAGCUAGGGGAGCAAACAGGAUUAGAUACCCUGGUAGUCCUAGCCCUAAACGAUGAGCACUGGGUGUGGCCCCUCACGGGGCUGUGCCGAAGCUAACGCAUUAAGUGCUCCGCCUGGGGAGUACGGUCGCAAGGCUGAA